This 21-nucleotide microRNA is filed under the name Glycine max (soybean). RNAcentral's name for it is "gma-miR403b". Its record names the gene gma-miR403a. Lineage: Eukaryota; Viridiplantae; Streptophyta; Magnoliopsida; Fabales; Fabaceae. The record is from miRBase by way of RNAcentral.
UUAGAUUCACGCACAAACUUG